CGUGGGGAGCGAACAGGAUUAGAUACCCUGGUAGUCCACGCCGUAAACGUUGGGCGCUAGAUGUGGGGACCAUUCCACGGUUUCCGUGUCGCAGCUAACGCAWUAAGCGCCCCSCCUGGGGAGUACGGCCGCMAGGCUAAAACUCAAAGGAAUWGACGGGGGCCCRCACAAAMGGCGGAGCAUGCGGAUUAAUUCGAUGCAACGCGAAGAACCUUACCAAGGCUUGACAUACACGAGAACGGGCCAGAAAUGGUCAACUCUUUGGACACUCGUGAACAGGUGGUGCAUGGUUGUCGUCAGCUCGUGUCGUGAGAUGUUGGGUUAAGUCCCGCAACGAGCGCAACCCUCGUUCUAUGUUGCCAGCGCGUAAUGGCGGGAACUCAUAGGAGACUGCCGGGGUCAACUCGGAGGAAGGUGGGGAUGACGUCAAAUCAUCAUGCCCCUUAUGUCUUGGGCUUCACGCAUGCUACAAUGGCCGGUACAAAGGGCUGCAAUACCGUAAGGUGGAGCGAAUCCCAAAAAGCCGGUCUCAGUUCGGAUUGAGGUCUGCAACUCGACCUCAUGAAGUCGGAGUCGCUAGUAAUCGCAGAUCAGCAACGCUGCGGUGAAUACGUUCCCGGGCCUUGUACACACCG
Molecule: ribosomal RNA, 635 nt
Filed under: Leifsonia sp. SNMS19
Lineage: Bacteria; Bacillati; Actinomycetota; Actinomycetes; Micrococcales; Microbacteriaceae
Description: bacterial SSU rRNA
Rfam family: Bacterial small subunit ribosomal RNA
Source: RNAcentral